GGCAUUCUUUGGCAUUGCCUCUCUUAGGGAUUGGAAUGAAAACUGACCUUUUCCAGUCCUGUGGCCACUGCUGAGUUUUCCAAAUUUGCUGGCAUAUUGAGUGCAGCACUUUCACAGCAUCAUCUUUCAGGAUUUGAAAUAGCUCAGCUGGAAUUCCAUCACCUCUACUAACUUUGUUCAUAUUGAUGCUUCCUAAGGCCCACUUGACUUCAGACUCCAGGAUAUCUGGCUCUAGAAUGGACUGUAGCCCGCCAGGCUCCUCUGUCCCUGGAACUCUCCAGGCAAGAAUAACGAGUUGAAUAGACCAUAGCCCGCCAGCCUCUUCCGUCCCUGGGACUCUCCAGGCAAGAACACUGGAGCCGGCUGCUGGGCCACCUCGGCGGUCCCCGGCAGGAGGCUCUGGGGUCCGCGAUCAACUCGAGCCCGCCGCGCCGUCGCCGGCGUCCAGCAGGGGGCGCUGCACCCCGGCUCGCCGGCCCUCUCUUCCCCGCCGAGGCCGCCGAGACGCCGGCCAGUCGGGGAGCGGGUCUGCGCGCGCACGUUCUC
Long non-coding RNA from Bos taurus (domestic cattle), 546 nucleotides. NCBI's taxonomy places the organism in Eukaryota, Metazoa, Chordata, Mammalia, Artiodactyla, Bovidae. The record is from Ensembl.